GACGAACGCUGGCGGCGUGCUUAACACAUGCAAGUCGAACGGAAAGGCCCUGCUUUUGUGGGGUGCUCGAGUGGCGAACGGGUGAGUAACACGUGAGUAACCUGCCCUUGACUUUGGGAUAACUUCAGGAAACUGGGGCUAAUACCGGAUAGGAGCUCCUGCUGCAUGGUGGGGGUUGGAAAGUUUCGGCGGUUGGGGAUGGACUCGCGGCGUAUCAGCUUGUUGGUGGGGUAGUGGCUUACCAAGGCUUUGACGGGUAGCCGGCCUGAGAGGGUGACCGGCCACAUUGGGACUGAGAUACGGCCCAGACUCCUACGGGAGGCAGCAGUGGGGAAUAUUGCACAAUGGGCGGAAGCCUGAUGCAGCAACGCCGCGUGCGGGAUGACGGCCUUCGGGUUGUAAACCGCUUUCGCCUGUGAUGAAGCGUGAGUGACGGUAAUGGGUAAAGAAGCACCGGCUAACUACGUG
Molecule: ribosomal RNA, 468 nt
Filed under: uncultured bacterium
Lineage: Bacteria
Description: partial 16S ribosomal RNA
Rfam family: Bacterial small subunit ribosomal RNA
Source: RNAcentral